RNAcentral lists this long non-coding RNA (895 nucleotides) under Triticum aestivum (bread wheat). Its description in RNAcentral is "long non-coding RNA (TAES_LNC021941)". Lineage: Eukaryota; Viridiplantae; Streptophyta; Magnoliopsida; Poales; Poaceae. The record is from RNAcentral.
CUUUACCACUGCGCCAAGGCUCCCCUUCUGCACUUGACAUAAGCUUGUCGAUAACAAAUCUGACAUGUUUUAUAAGUGCAUCUCUACUCAGUACUCACCCAACAACUGAAAUCCAUAACUUUGCAGAAACCGAUGGAGAGUAAAGAACACUGCAUGUAGUGUCUUCAGGUUGCUCCAGUUUUGCAAUUGCUCGCAACUGUCAGGUCUUGUUGUAUUUGUGAUGCAUAUGAAGAUACUUGGGAGCAUGCUCUACUUUAUUCUACAAUGUCUAAGUGCACCUGGGCUCUUUGGAUGAAGAUCUCAUGGAGAUGCUUGCAAGCCUGUGAAUCACUGAUCCAAGACAUUGGGGUUUCCAUAUAUGUAACAGCAUGUCAUAAGGUACUUAAUCACUUCACGGGUGGUAUUGUUGGCGCGUCGCAAGGUAUGAGAGCGUUUUGACAUGGACUGAUGCUACUGUCGGGCUUGUUAACUGUAUGCUGCUAGCCUGGAGUUCAUCUAUGAAGAGCAAUUUGCUUCUGGUGAUGGCGGAGCUCUAAAACACAGGAUUAGGGGAUGGAUCUUGCUGGGUCCAGGGGAGGUGAUACUGAACGCUGACACUGCUCUUCUCUGAGGCGAUUCCAUGGCAGCAGACACAGCUGUCUGCUGCGACCAAAAGAGCCUGGUAUAAUGGAAACUCUGGUGAGCGGCGAUGUUUUGAUUUUAUUAGGGUGGCUUCAGAUUGCUAAUUCCAUCACCAACUUUGUAGGAGACGAACAGGUGGUCUGACAUGAUGUUGAUCCAAGACAUGAAGAACCGUGCACAGGUUGGACAUGGUAGGUAGAGAUACAGAGGUAGCAGCUCCAGCUUAGCAUUGCUCGCUUUUACUCUGGGUGUUGAUGACCAUAUAUGGAAGGUA